AUAUAGAAUAGAAAAAGAGAUCAAAUACCUUUCCUAUUAACAUAAGACAUCCCUCCUAAUCCAAGGCAUUCAAGAACAACUAUCAAUUCAUUCGACUUAAAUCAGUUUCUUCAGCAGCUCAAUUAAGCCCAUAUUUUUCGGAUUCUAGUUCUGAUGAACAAAGUGGAAAUACCCAAAUGAAAAAUAGUACCAAUAAUAUUGUUGAGGUAAAUUCUUAUUGGGUCACUGAAAUACUCAACAGUUUAAAGGAAGAGCCUGAAAAUGCUUUAUUAUUUUUUCAUCAAUUAAAAGAAAGUGGGUUUAAACAUGAUGUACAAACUUAUAUGGCUAUGGUUCGGACAUUUUGUUAUUGGGGUAUGGAUAUGAAACUGGAUUCUUUGUUUUUGGAGGUUAUAAUUUGUGGGGAAAAAAGGAUUUGGGGUUUGAGGUUUCUGAUUUGUUUGAGGAACUAGUGGAGGGGUUAAAUGCUGAGGGCCCUAGUUCGUUGGUUCGGGAUUUGGAUGCAUUGGUUAAGGCUUAUGUGAGUUCAGGUAUAGAUAAUCAGUUUUGACGAGCCCUCAUAAUAGAUGAAAUUGGUAUUCAGCGAAGGAUCAAGAAGACUCCAUCUCAUUUGGAGUGCAGCUGAGUCAUCAUGUCAAAAUUUUGCUACAUACUUAUGGGUUAUAAUUUGUGGGAAAAAAAGGAUUUGGGGUUUGAGGUUUCUGAUUUGUUUGAGGAACUAGUGGACGGGUUAAAUGCUGAGGGCCCUAGUUCGGUUGUUCGGGCUUUGGAUGCAUUGAUAAAGGCUUAUGUGAGUUCAGGUAUGAUAAGGCUAUCCCUUUUUUCUUUUGGCAUGAUCCAAAUAAUACAAAUAAAACGAGCAAAAUACGCAACUU
Non-coding RNA from Nicotiana tabacum (common tobacco), 875 nucleotides. The record is from RefSeq and is a predicted model, not a curated record. Lineage: Eukaryota; Viridiplantae; Streptophyta; Magnoliopsida; Solanales; Solanaceae.